Molecule: small RNA, 104 nt
Filed under: Candidatus Nitrospira inopinata
Lineage: Bacteria; Pseudomonadati; Nitrospirota; Nitrospiria; Nitrospirales; Nitrospiraceae
Also listed under: 1 other name
Description: Guanidine-I riboswitch aptamer
Rfam family: Guanidine-I riboswitch aptamer
About the family: This family represents a conserved RNA structure found upstream of the ykkC and yxkD genes in Bacillus subtilis and related genes in other bacteria.
Source: Rfam by way of RNAcentral
CAAAAGGAAAACUAGGGUUCCGGCUUUCGCCAAGAAAGUGUCUGGGCCAAGAGUUUUCGGUCUCGCAUAACGAGGCUCCACGGAGGGAUAAAAGCCCGGGAGAU